Molecule: non-coding RNA, 24 nt
Filed under: Arabidopsis thaliana (thale cress)
Lineage: Eukaryota; Viridiplantae; Streptophyta; Magnoliopsida; Brassicales; Brassicaceae
Source: RNAcentral
ACGAAUCAAACAGUGAAAAGUGAC